UUUAAGUUUUACAUUAAAGAAGACGAAGGAAAAAGUUUUUACCAGAUAUUCCACACAUAAAAAGGCGCUAAAGGUUAAUAUAAAACAAGCAACUUGGACUAAGUUAAUCAUUUUUUACAAAACAAAGGAAAAAACUACAAAAAGGAAAUUCAAACUCAAACAAGCAAGCCAUGAAGAAAAUGUUUCUAAUGGACUAUAUUUGUAUUCGUUAAAACAUUCAUUCUGUGCUUAUUUCUCAACAAGUCCAAACGUCAUUUUAAUUUGCUAGAAAAUCAAAUUGAACAAAAUUUUGUGCUCAUUUUUCAAUGUUAUUAAAAUUAUGGUUAACAUAAAACAAGCAACAUGGACUAAGUUGAUGCGUUUUUACAUAUAAAAAGGGAAUCUACAACAAUAAAAACCAACCUAAAACCAGCAAGCCAUGAACAAAAUGUUUCUAAUGUCGUCCAUUAAAUGAAAGUUUCAUUCUGGGCUUAUUUCUGAACAAGACCAGAUGUCAUUUUUAAUUACCUAGAAAGUCAAACUGAACAAAAUUUUUUGUUACAGAACAAAUUUUAAACUUCAUUCAAUUUAUUUUAGAAUGUGCUUUGAAUUUUACUCGCCAUUCGGAGAACUCGAGUGACUUUCAACCUUUGAAGACAAUCUUUAUGACCUUGGACUUUUUAAACUGGAUGCAUGAUCAUCAAAGCCAAAGUUUUUAUAUAUAUUUGAUGUCCACAGUUGCCUUGCAGCUUUGAAUCUGAUAAACUGGCCAGGGUUUUAGAUGAGGUGUCUCUGCUUAGUCUUGAGGCACCUCAAGUUCCUCCCAGCCAAAUAAAGUUGGAUUUGGAUUUGUCCAACUGCUCGAAGGUGGCCAAGUCAAUAUACCGGAAGACCGAGCACAUUCAUUCCCAGCCCUGUUGUAUGUGUUCUGAAUGACAUUUGUCCACUAAAAGGCAAAGAUCAGAAUGGUGAAAUAACUAUUGGCCUGGCCGAUAUUCUGUUGACAGCCAUUAACUCGAUUAAUAUCUGAUUUAGGAUGAUUUGCUUCUUGUCUUUGGUAUUCCUUCGGCGCUUAUAUAGGCUAUUAUAUAACCGCCCUGAGAAUACUGAAGCCAAGAAACAAACCAUCUUGAAGCAGAUACACAUCGAGUUGAUUGGCUGACCGUCAAGGGUUUAAGUCAUGAUGGCUUAAAGAGCAAGGACCACUUUUCUGAUAUAUCUGUGAACAGCUGGGAUUGCGCGGAUAUCAAUUAGCACACAUACGAUAGGUGCUAGGAAGGAAGGUGAAAGAAUUUCACGAGGAUCGCUUUUAUUACCUUUAAACAGCUGGCAAAUUCCAUUCCACCGUAAACCCAGAAAGGCCUUACAUUGCCCUGGCCAACAAUAGCUGUACUCCUCCAGAACAAUUUUAGUUCCAUGGCAGACCUUUUGGACACGUCAAGCACUGUAGUCAACAACCUUUUAUAUGAUCUCUGAUAAUUAAGACCAAAUUAUUUAUUGUGCUGCGUGAGAACGUUAACUGUGCUCAAAUUCAAUGGAGGUUAAUUAUUAAUCAAGUCUUGAAAAUGUUUCCUGAAUGCCGAAAGAAGAUUUCCUCGCUGGAAAUUGUCAUCCAGCCUUCGGACAUUGGGUUAAUAUUCAGAAAGAAGAGUAAUGGGAACUAAUGAGCUGGAAACUGGAAAUUAAAAUAGACUUACACAUAAUUUAAGGUUGUGGAGUUGAAUAUCCAUUCUAACAUAUUUUGUAAAACUCAGAAGUGGCAAGAAAGGUGUUCUGUUAAGUAACAAAUCAAAUUCCCACGAGUACUCAUUAGAGCAGAAUGAAACUUUAAGCAUGAAAGAAGUUCUUAAGAUUAAAUCAUUAUUUUCUGAAUAUUUAACAAACUUAGAUUUCGUGUACUUAUACUUAUUAAACACCUUUUUACGUAUGUAACACUCGUAUGUUUUACCCCUUAAAAAUGUAUUAACUGGCAACUAAAAUCAUCAUCAGAUCAAACCCAUCUUGUCAAAUGAAAUUUCAAAGAAAGAAGAAAUACAACAUAAUCAAAGCCUAAUCUUCAAAGUUGUAUUCUUCUCCCUACCAUUUCAGCAUCGAUCUUUGUCGAGCUUCCAUUCCGAGCAUUUAUCAUCGAUUCCCAAGCUUUGAGAUACAUUCCAAUCUGCACGUCUUCUUUAGUUUUCUUCGAAAUCUUUGUCUUCUGUCGGAUUGAUAGUGUCGAACAUAAAGUUGACAUUGGGGCCAGCUUAAAAGCCACAGAUCGAUAUGCAAAUUGAUCGACAGCCAAGAGCACAAAUUGCCAAAACAAAGCGAGAAGAAAGACGGGAAAUGGGCGUAGAAAUAGAAACAGAAAUAGAAACAGAAACAGAAGACCAAGCUUUGUGGCUCUCUGGCGAAGACAA
Molecule: long non-coding RNA, 2378 nt
Organism: Drosophila eugracilis
Lineage: Eukaryota; Metazoa; Arthropoda; Insecta; Diptera; Drosophilidae
Exons: 5
Source: RefSeq, a predicted model, not a curated record